UACGGAGGGUGCGAGCGUUGUCCGGAAUCAUUGGGCGUAAAGGGCGCGUAGGCGGCCCGGCAAGCGUGCGGUGAAAGUCGGGGGCUCAACCCCCGAUCGGCCGUGCGAACUGCGGGGCUGGAGCACUGUAGAGGCAGGCGGAAUUCCGGGUGUAGCGGUGGAAUGCGUAGAGAUCCGGAAGAACACCGGUGGCGAAGGCGGCCUGCUGGGCAGUUUUGCUGACACUGAGGCGCGACAGCGUGGGGAGCAAACAGG
RNAcentral lists this ribosomal RNA (255 nucleotides) under uncultured bacterium. Its description in RNAcentral is "partial 16S ribosomal RNA". It matches the Rfam family "Bacterial small subunit ribosomal RNA", at positions 524 to 776 of the family's 1533-position model. The record is from RNAcentral.